RNA transcript from Magnolia sinica, 1439 nucleotides. It is a transcript of the gene named polycomb group protein EMF2B-like, with no coding region annotated. The transcript is spliced from 6 exons. The record is from RefSeq and is a predicted model, not a curated record. Lineage: Eukaryota; Viridiplantae; Streptophyta; Magnoliopsida; Magnoliales; Magnoliaceae.
GUGGUUUGGUCCUUAGUACAAGCUAAAUGUAUGUCAUCUCAUCUAGUGAGGUUGUCACAUUUCAGGCACUUGUGGUGAAGCUAAGGGAAGGCACCGGGCCAAAUGCUAAUACUGGUGUUGUCACUGGAGUUCUUGCAACUGUUGGGGAGCUUGCUAGGGUGGUGGUAUGAAAAGGAAUGAUGAAAAGGUUCUAUUUUGAUGCUAAAAUGUCGAAGCAUUGCUCUAGGAGGUUUUGCUUGUUUACUUUAAUUUGUAACAAGUAGUAAUCAUGUUGUCAUUUUGGUAUCUACCUCCUUUCAUAGAGGCUAGCAUACUUGCUUGCUGCAUUACACUUAGGGGACCACAUGAUGUGAAUUAUUGUUCCUGAAGUUUUUCAGCUUAGUUUGGAAGAAAACCUUCAAGGGAAAAAAGAUCAUGUUGUCCUCAGUUGGAAUCAGAGAUAUAAGAUUGCUAUCAAUGUAGCUGAGGCACUUGAUUAUCUACAUAGCCGCAGUGCUUAGUUCAUUAUCCAUAGGGAUGUGAAAUCAUUGAACAUCCUUCUAGCAGAUGAUUUUGAGCCACAGAAUACAAAUGACCAUAUCGCUUGGGACUGGGAGUGAUGAAGUGCAACUGCAAAAUGCAUUACCCCUGUAUGUUCUGUUGGCAAAACCUGUUUCUAAUAUUACAGUUUCAGAGUUUAUCAGCUCAGGAGGACAUGCAUUCUAAAAGCUUUCUCUGAGUUUGGGAGUGGAGAUAAAAAAGAAGCCACCUUUGUUAUUCCUGAGCUUAGGAAGUUGUCAGCUAAUGGCAAAGCUGGCAAUCUCACCGUCUUACUUUUUCUUCAGGGGAAGCUGCAAUUACUUCCAGUGAAAGUGAUCUACUUAAAGACCAAUUCGAUCUGGCAUCUUUUCCAUGUGGUGUAACAUUGAUGGACGCCUUCUUGAUAAAGUUCUUCCCAGUCGUCUAUCGAAAGACCAAAGAUCCUGGUUUGGACAGCCAUUACUGCAAAUACGACAACCACGGCCUUCAGCUAUUCACAUCAUCGUUGUAUCUAGCUGGCUUGACUUCGUCCUUCUUUGCAUCCUACACCACAAGAAACCUCGGUUGGAGGCUGACCAUGCUCAUUGCAGGGAUUUUCUUCAUCAUUGGCGUGGUGCUAAAUGCAGCUGCCCAGAACCUUGCCAUGCUCAUUAUAGGAAGGAUCUUCCUGGGGUGUGGAGUCGGCUUCGCUAAUCAGGUCUUUUUCUAGUUUCACUUCUGAUUCCUCAGGCAUGACCAUUUUUAUCCCCUUUUGUAACCAUGACAUAUGUAGAUUCCCAUUAAAAUGGCAUUCACCUUAUUUUGCUAGCAGUGUCAUUACUAAGAUCAAGAUUCACGGAUUUUUGGUGCAACAUAAUAUCUAUAAGUCUGAUAAUUCAUUGUUGAAUACAUGCCGAUAUUUCAUUGGCAGUUUCAAGUUA